UUUUCAUGUGGUUUUUAGUAAAGUUUAUUUAGAAUAAAGAAAGCAUGUGCCCAUGUAACUACAGACAUGCAUUGCUUAAGGACGAGGAUACAUGCUGAGAAAUGCAUUAUUAGGGCAUUUUGCCAUUGUGCGAACAUCGUAGAGUGUACUGAAGGGCAUCAAAAUUUGCCACCCCAAGAUGUGUCUCUUCAACCUGAGGAUGAUUGUAGGCUGAUUAUUUUUAAGAAACAAAAAACCAAGAAAAUUUUUCUUGUUACCUGCCCCUAACUACGUAAAAGAAUUCAGAUAAAAAAAAAAAAAAACCUGUCUCUGGAAGCAAGCUAUCACCAUAGCAUAACAUGAACUGGGUGGUUGAUAGGAACCUAGAAAAGCCUGUUUGUUGGGCUCCCUGCUGUGUUCUUCUGUGUCUAUGUGGCCAAACAACUUGUUUUCCAAGCAUUUGCUCCUUUUCACUUACCUGUGAAUUGCCUUCCUUUCCUUUGAAGUCCCUGACUGUCCCCACCCCUAAACGUCUUCUUUUGUCUUUAGCUGAUGAUGGUAUUUAAGGUGAAGCCUUCAGCCAUUUUGUCAGUUACUCAGUUUCCUGAAUUUCUCUCAUAAAAAGAACAUUGAAUGAAUUUUAAGAAAUAAGUGCAAUAAAAGGAACAGACUGCUCAUAAACAUGAGCACAUAGAUGAAUGUCAGAAUCAUUAUGGAAUCUUCUGAAUUGGCUCUGCCUCUGCUUCGAAACAGCCAGUGACUUCUGGGAAUAUUUAUCUCCAUGCGUGUGGCUACACGAAAUACCUAAAUAACAUGAAGUAUUACCAUGCCUGACUCUCAUCCUUGUUUUUGUGCAUUUCUUCACUGAUCUGUCCUCAUCUUUUUACAAUGUGAUGCAAAACAUUGCCUCACUCUCAGCAUGAAAAA
This 906-nucleotide long non-coding RNA is filed under the name Equus caballus (horse). Its description in RNAcentral is "lncRNA (ENSECAG00000049667.1)". Lineage: Eukaryota; Metazoa; Chordata; Mammalia; Perissodactyla; Equidae. The record is from RNAcentral.